CCCUCCCUAGCCCCAGCUCACUCCACCCCCAAGGGCCAGACCUUCACUUUUCUCCCUCCAGCACCACCGCCGCCGCCGCCAAUGCUGCCAUAUAGAUCGCUCGACGAGGCGGCGGCCACCCUGGGCCGGAACCUUACCUUCGCUGAGACACUGUGGUUCAAUUAUUCUGCCAAUAAGUCCGAUUACUACCUCUACUGCCAUAACAUUCUCUUCCUCUUUUUAAUCUUCUCUAUUGUGCCUCUGCCUCUCGUUUUCGUCGAGCUUAUGCGAUCUACUGGGUUCGACAAGUAUAAGAUUCAGCCCAAGGUUAAGCUCUCCUUCCCCGAGAUGUUCAAAUGCUACAAAGAUGUCAUGCGCAUGUUCUUUCUUGUUGUGGGUCCCUUGCAAUUGGUCUCCUAUCCUUCUAUCAAGAUGAUCAGGAUUAGGACAAGUUUGCCAUUGCCGUCUGUAUGGGAAAUUUUUCUACAUUUGUUGGUGUAUUUCGUGGUGGAGGACUAUACCAAUUAUUGGAUCCACAGGCUUCUCCAUUGUAAAUGGGGCUAUGAGAAAAUUCACCGUGUUCAUCAUGAAUAUGCUGCUCCCAUUGGUUUUGCUGCUCCAUAUGCACACUGGGCUGAAAUUUUGAUCCUGGGAAUUCCAUCUUUCCUGGGACCAGCAAUGGUUCCCGGGCACAUGAUCACAUUUUGGUUGUGGAUUGUUUUGCGGCAGAUUGAGGCAAUUGAGACACACAGCGGGUAUGACUUCCCUUGGAGUCCUGCAAAAUAUAUUCCAUUUUAUGGCGGCGCAGAGUAUCAUGCUUAUCCCCAUUUUUUUGGUGAACAAAGCCAACCAAAGCAACUUUGCUUCGGUUUUCACCUAUUGUGACUUUAUUUAUGGAACUGACAAGGGCUAUCGAUAUCAAAAGAAGCUACUUCAGAAGUUGAAAGAGGGAUUGAAAAGUGGUGGUGAAGAUAAUGGAGGCUCAUACCAUGUUCCCACCCAGGAUCUUAAAUCUGACUAGCCAAGGAACUGCAGAACUUUUCUUCAGAUCAAUGUGCUUAGGGUACACCUCUUGGGAACCUUUUAUUUCAAGUUGACAUCAGUAUGCUAGUCCUGGUUAAUUUAGAACCUUUAGUAUUGCUGAUGGAGAUUAACUGCGAUUUCUGUACCAUGAGGUGGGUUUAGCUAAGUUUCAGAAUUUGGGGUUUUUGUUAAUGAAGUUCAGUGGAUUGGGAUAUCAUGGCGUUUGAAUUUAAGAUUUUAAGUGUUGUUGUUUAGCUUUUUGUUUGAAAUCCAAAUAUGGAAAAUGCUAUGAUAUCCCAAUCCACUG
RNAcentral lists this unclassified non-coding RNA (1309 nucleotides) under Hevea brasiliensis (rubber tree). The record is from RNAcentral. Lineage: Eukaryota; Viridiplantae; Streptophyta; Magnoliopsida; Malpighiales; Euphorbiaceae.